RNAcentral lists this ribosomal RNA (981 nucleotides) under Micrococcus luteus. RNAcentral describes it as "bacterial SSU rRNA". It matches the Rfam family "Bacterial small subunit ribosomal RNA", at positions 50 to 1040 of the family's 1533-position model. Lineage: Bacteria; Bacillati; Actinomycetota; Actinomycetes; Micrococcales; Micrococcaceae. The record is from RNAcentral.
UACACAUGCAAGUCGAACGAUGAAGCCCAGCUUGCUGGGUGGAUUAGUGGCGAACGGGUGAGUAACACGUGAGUAACCUGCCCUUAACUCUGGGAUAAGCCUGGGAAACUGGGUCUAAUACCGGAUAGGAGCGUCUACCGCAUGGUGGGUGUUGGAAAGAUUUAUCGGUUUUGGAUGGACUCGCGGCCUAUCAGCUUGUUGGUGAGGUAAUGGCUCACCAAGGCGACGACGGGUAGCCGGCCUGAGAGGGUGACCGGCCACACUGGGACUGAGACACGGCCCAGACUCCUACGGGAGGCAGCAGUGGGGAAUAUUGCACAAUGGGCGCAAGCCUGAUGCAGCGACGCCGCGUGAGGGAUGACGGCCUUCGGGUUGUAAACCUCUUUCAGUAGGGAAGAAGCGAAAGUGACGGUACCUGCAGAAGAAGCACCGGCUAACUACGUGCCAGCAGCCGCGGUAAUACGUAGGGUGCGAGCGUUAUCCGGAAUUAUUGGGCGUAAAGAGCUCGUAGGCGGUUUGUCGCGUCUGUCGUGAAAGUCCGGGGCUUAACCCCGGAUCUGCGGUGGGUACGGGCAGACUAGAGUGCAGUAGGGGAGACUGGAAUUCCUGGUGUAGCGGUGGAAUGCGCAGAUAUCAGGAGGAACACCGAUGGCGAAGGCAGGUCUCUGGGCUGUAACUGACGCUGAGGAGCGAAAGCAUGGGGAGCGAACAGGAUUAGAUACCCUGGUAGUCCAUGCCGUAAACGUUGGGCACUAGGUGUGGGGACCAUUCCACGGUUUCCGCGCCGCAGCUAACGCAUUAAGUGCCCCGCCUGGGGAGUACGGCCGCAAGGCUAAAACUCAAAGGAAUUGACGGGGGCCCGCACAAGCGGCGGAGCAUGCGGAUUAAUUCGAUGCAACGCGAAGAACCUUACCAAGGCUUGACAUGUUCUCGAUCGCCGUAGAGAUACGGUUUCCCCUUUUGGGGGCGGGUUCACAGGUG